GAAGUAAAAGUCGUAACAAGGUUUCCGUAGGUGAACCUGCGGAAGGAUCAUUACCGAGUGUAGGGUUCCUAGCGAGCCCAACCUCCCACCCGUGUUUACUGUACCUUAGUUGCUUCGGCGGGCCCGCCAUUCAUGGCCGCCGGGGGCUCUCAGCCCCGGGCCCGCGCCCGCCGGAGACACCACGAACUCUGUCUGAUCUAGUGAAGUCUGAGUUGAUUGUAUCGCAAUCAGUUAAAACUUUCAACAAUGGAUCUCUUGGUUCCGGCAUCGAUGAAGAACGCAGCGAAAUGCGAUAACUAGUGUGAAUUGCAGAAUUCCGUGAAUCAUCGAGUCUUUGAACGCACAUUGCGCCCCCUGGUAUUCCGGGGGGCAUGCCUGUCCGAGCGUCAUUGCUGCCCAUCAAGCACGGCUUGUGUGUUGGGUCGUCGUCCCCUCUCCGGGGGGGACGGGCCCCAAAGGCAGCGGCGGCACCGCGUCCGAUCCUCGAGCGUAUGGGGCUUUGUCACCCGCUACUGUAGGCCCGGCCGGCGCUUGCCGAACGCAAAUCAAUCUUUUUCCAGGUUGACCUCGGAUCAGGUAGGGAUACCCGCUGAACCUAAGCAUAUCAAUAAAGCGGAGG
This 619-nucleotide unclassified non-coding RNA is filed under the name Aspergillus oryzae. RNAcentral's name for it is "sequence contains 18S rRNA gene, ITS1, 5.8S rRNA gene, ITS2, 28S rRNA gene". The stretch from base 236 to 389 matches the Rfam family "5.8S ribosomal RNA". The record is from RNAcentral. Lineage: Eukaryota; Fungi; Ascomycota; Eurotiomycetes; Eurotiales; Aspergillaceae.